RNAcentral lists this long non-coding RNA (565 nucleotides) under Pandoravirus dulcis. RNAcentral describes it as "putative ncRNA". The record is from RNAcentral.
GACGAAAGGAAAAAGGACGCGGCGCGUGCGCGGUCGCCGGGCUUUGUCGACCUGCGCGUCGCGCGCAAACAGGACCCUUUUUUCCGUUUUUCUUUUUCUUUUUCUUUUCUCGAUUUUCUCCGUCGCCUCGCGGCCGGGAGAGCGCGGAAAAAGUGGGGGACUCGAAAAAAAAAAGAGUGGGGGGUGGCGCUGGCGGCGCGCACACGACACCGCAGCCAUCGCCUCGCAGAGGGUGUGCGCCCGCGCGCGAGCACAACAUCGUCGCCCGAGCAAAAGGCGGGCGACGCACAGAGGAAAAAAGGAACGCCUGGGAGCCGCGCCUGCGCCACGACAGCACCCACGAAAGAGGUUGCGGAAAAAAAACAUUUUUUUUCAGAAAGAAAAAAAACAGAAACAUCCCCAAGCGAGGACGCACCCAAGAACCGCGGGAUGGCGACCAGGACGGGAACGACGACGCAGACAAAGAGCCCCGGCGCCGAAGGCAAGAGAGAGCGCAGCGGGAGCCGCCGCCACCACCAGAGUCGGCGCCGACGCGACCGCCGCGGCGCGCCCUCGUCGGCGGGAG